AUGCUACCGCGCUGUUGUUGGUUUCGCAGUCCGGGCGGGACCAUCUUCGUCAUCAUCACCGCGGUGUCGCGCAUUCUCUCCGGUAGCGCUCGGGGGCUCGACACCGACACGCCCCUGGAGCGGCCGCGAGGGGUGGCGCGUCGUCGCCGUCGGCCGCGCCUUCUUCACCACAACGCUGGCCGUCCAUCCGCGCGCUCCGCGCACGGGGCCUCGCUUCGGUCGGCCGUGUCCAUCUACGCGCCGCUCGCGUCUGCUCCCCUCCAUGUUGCGCCUUGCUCCGGCCAAAACACGCUUUGCUCCUUCACAUACCAUCUAUGCAAGCUAGCUAGAUGCAAGUCAAACUCUAGUCGUACAUCUCCCAAAUACUAG
This 369-nucleotide ribosomal RNA is filed under the name Triticum aestivum (bread wheat). RNAcentral describes it as "partial small subunit ribosomal RNA". Lineage: Eukaryota; Viridiplantae; Streptophyta; Magnoliopsida; Poales; Poaceae. The record is from RNAcentral.